Molecule: ribosomal RNA, 253 nt
Filed under: uncultured bacterium
Lineage: Bacteria
Description: partial 16S ribosomal RNA
Rfam family: Bacterial small subunit ribosomal RNA
Source: RNAcentral
UACAUGGGGUGCAAACGUUGCUCGGAAUUAUUGGGCGUAAAGCGCACGUAGGUGGUCCCUUAAGUCGAAUGUGAAAUCCCUCGGCUCAACCGAGGACGUGCAUCCGAAACUGAGGGGCUAGAGUAUGGUAGAGGGUCGCGGAAUUCCCGGUGUAGAGGUGAAAUUCGUAGAUAUCGGGAGGAACACCGGUGGCGAAGGCGGCGACCUGGGCCAAUACUGACACUGAGGUGCGAAAGCGUGGGGAGCAAACAGG